GUGUCACCAUGGCCACCGCCCCUCCUGGUGUACUGUAAGAACAAGCUCUGUUCAAAGUCUGGCUUCGGUCGAGGUGUGGAUGCUAAGAUCCACAUCUUUGACCUGGGGCAGAAGAAGCCAAAAGAAGCUGAGUUCCCACUCUGUGGCCACAGUGUCAGAUGCGUAGGAGCCACUUUCCUCUGAAGCGCUGGAGGCUGCCCGUAUUUGUGCCAGCAAGUACAUGGUGAAAAGCAGUGGCAAAGAUGGCAUUCACAUCCAAAUGUGGCUCCACCCCUUCCAUGUUAUCCACAGGAACAAGACGCUAUGCUCUGCUGGAGCUAAUGGGCUCCAGACAGGUAUGCACAGUGGCCAGGGUCGACACUGGCCAAGUCAUAGUGUCCAUCCGCACCAAGCUGCGGAACAAGGAGCAUGUGAGUAAGGCCCUCCCUAGGGCCAAGUUCAAGUUCCCUGGCUGCCAGAAGAUCCACAUCUCCAAGAAGUGGAGAUUUACCAAGUAUAAUGCCAGUGAAUUUGAAAACACGAUAGAAAAGCAGCCCAUCCAGGGUGGCUGUGGAGUCAAAUACAUCCCUGGUCAUGUUCCCUGGACAAAUGGUGGGCCCUGCGCUCAUGAG
Molecule: long non-coding RNA, 611 nt
Filed under: Bos taurus (domestic cattle)
Lineage: Eukaryota; Metazoa; Chordata; Mammalia; Artiodactyla; Bovidae
Description: long non-coding RNA NONBTAT020289
Source: RNAcentral